This 207-nucleotide ribosomal RNA is filed under the name uncultured bacterium. RNAcentral describes it as "partial 16S ribosomal RNA". It matches the Rfam family "Bacterial small subunit ribosomal RNA", at positions 568 to 774 of the family's 1533-position model. The record is from RNAcentral.
CGUGUAGGUGGUUCUGUAAGUCUGGCGUGAAAUUUUUCGGCUUAACCGGGAAAGGUCGUCGGAUACUGCAGGGCUAGAGGACGGUAGAGGCGUGUGGAAUUCCGGGUGUAGUGGUGAAAUGCGUAGAGAUCCGGAGGAACACCAGUGGCGAAGGCGACACGCUGGGCCGUACCUGACACUGAUGCGCGACAGCAUGGGGAGCAAACA